CGUGUCGUGAGAUGUUGGGUUAAGUCCCGCAACGAGCGCAACCCUUAAGCUUAGUUGCCAUCAUUAAGUUGGGCACUCUAAGUUGACUGCCGGUGACAAACCGGAGGAAGGUGGGGAUGACGUCAAAUCAUCAUGCCCCUUAUGAUUUGGGCUACACACGUGCUACAAUGGACAAUACAAAGGGCAGCGAAACCGCGAGGUCAAGCAAAUCCCAUAAAGUUGUUCUCAGUUCGGAUUGUAGUCUGCAACUCGACUACAUGAAGCUGGAAUCGCUAGUAAUCGUAGAUCAGCAUGCUACGGUGAAUACGUUCCCGGGUCUUGUACACACCGCCCGUCACACCACGAGAGUUUGUAACACCCGAAGCCGGUGGAGUAACCUUUUAGGAGCUAGCCGUCGAAGGUGGGACAAAUGAUUGGGGUGAAGUCGUAACAAGGUAGCCGUAUCGGAAGGUGCGGCUGGAUCACCUCCUUUCUA
This 475-nucleotide ribosomal RNA is filed under the name Staphylococcus aureus. RNAcentral describes it as "bacterial SSU rRNA". It matches the Rfam family "Bacterial small subunit ribosomal RNA", at positions 1061 to 1533 of the family's 1533-position model. The record is from RNAcentral. Lineage: Bacteria; Bacillati; Bacillota; Bacilli; Caryophanales; Staphylococcaceae.